This 902-nucleotide ribosomal RNA is filed under the name uncultured bacterium. RNAcentral's name for it is "bacterial SSU rRNA". It matches the Rfam family "Bacterial small subunit ribosomal RNA", at positions 26 to 907 of the family's 1533-position model. The record is from RNAcentral.
AGAACGAACGCUGGCGGCGUGCUUAACACAUGCAAGUCGAACGUGAUCCAGAGCUUGCUCUGGUGAAAGUGGCGCACGGGUGAGUAACGCGUGGAUAACCUGCCCUGGUAUCCGGGAUAACACUUCGAAAGGGGUGCUAAUACCGGAUAAGCCCACGGGCUCUUCGGAGCUUGCGGGAAAAGGUGGCCUCUGAAUAUGCUACUGUAUCAGGAUGGGUCCGCGUACCAUUAGCUAGUUGGUGGUGUAAUGGACCACCAAGGCGACGAUGGUUAGCUGGUCUGAGAGGAUGAUCAGCCACACUGGGACUGAGACACGGUCCAGACUCCUACGGGAGGCAGCAGUGGGGAAUUUUGCGCAAUGGGGGAAACCCUGACGCAGCAACGCCGCGUGAGUGAUGAAGGCCUUCGGGUCGUAAAGCUCUGUCAGUGGGGAAGAAGUGAUAGGGUGCUAAUACCACCCUAUCUUGACGGUACCCACAAAGGAAGCACCGGCUAACUCCGUGCCAGCAGCCGCGGUAAUACGGAGGGUGCAAGCGUUGUUCGGAUUUAUUGGGCGUAAAGCGCGUGUAGGCGGUUUCUUAAGCCUGAUGUGAAAGCCCCGGGCUCAACCCGGGAAGUGCAUUGGAUACUGGGAGACUUGAAUACGGGAGAGGGUAGUGGAAUUCCUAGUGUAGGAGUGAAAUCCGUAGAUAUUAGGAGGAACACCGGUGGCGAAGGCGGCUACCUGGACCGAUAUUGACGCUGAGACGCGAAAGCGUGGGGAGCAAACAGGAUUAGAUACCCUGGUAGUCCACGCCGUAAACGAUGAGAACUAGGUGUUGCGGGUAUUGACCCCUGCAGUGCCGCAGCUAACGCAUUAAGUUCUCCGCCUGGGAAGUACGGUCGCAAGACUAAACUUAAAGG